CCUACGGGUGGCAGCAGUGAGGAAUAUUGGUCAAUGGACGAGAGUCUGAACCAGCCAAGUAGCGUGAAGGAUGACUGCCCUAUGGGUUGUAAACUUCUUUUAUAUGGGAAUAAAAUGUUCCACGUGUGGGAUUUUGUAUGUACCAUAAGAAUAAGGAUCGGCUAACUCCGUGCCAGCAGCCGCGGUAAUACGGAGGAUCCGAGCGUUAUCCGGAUUUAUUGGGUUUAAAGGGAGCGUAGGUGGAUUGUUAAGUCAGUUGUGAAAGUUUGCGGCUCAACCGUAGAAUUGCAGUUGAAACUGGCAGUCUUGAGUACAGUAGAGGUGGGCGGAAUUCGUGGUGUAGCGGUGAAAUGCUUAGAUAUCACGCAGAACUCCGAUUGCGAAGGCAGUUCACUGGACUGCAACUGACACUGAGGCUCGAAAGUGUGGGUAUCAAACAGGAUUAGAUACCCUAGUAGUC
RNAcentral lists this ribosomal RNA (460 nucleotides) under uncultured bacterium. RNAcentral's name for it is "partial 16S ribosomal RNA". It matches the Rfam family "Bacterial small subunit ribosomal RNA", at positions 338 to 795 of the family's 1533-position model. The record is from RNAcentral.